Molecule: ribosomal RNA, 384 nt
Filed under: uncultured Eubacteriales bacterium
Lineage: Bacteria; Bacillati; Bacillota; Clostridia; Eubacteriales
Description: bacterial SSU rRNA
Rfam family: Bacterial small subunit ribosomal RNA
Source: RNAcentral
GCCGUGUGAGUGAUGAAGGCCUUCGGGUCGUAAAAUUCUGUCCCAUGGGAAGAAAAAACUGACGGUACCAUAGGAGGAACCCCCGGCUAACUACGUGCCAGCAGCCGCGGUAAUACGUAGGGGGCAAGCGUUAUCCGGAAUCACUGGGCGUAAAGGGUGCGUAGGUGGCUGAUCAAGCCAGGGGUGAAAGGCAUUGGCUCAACCAAUGUAAGCCUUUGGAACUGAUCGGCUUGAGUGCAGGAGAGGUAAGUGGAAUUCCUAGUGUAGAGGUGAAAUUCGUAGAUAUUAGGAGGAACACCAGUGGCGAAGGCGACUUACUGGACUGUAACUGACACUGAGGCCACAAAGCGUGGGGAGCAAACAGGAUUAGAUACCCUGGUAGUC